This 515-nucleotide ribosomal RNA is filed under the name uncultured bacterium. RNAcentral describes it as "partial 16S ribosomal RNA". It matches the Rfam family "Bacterial small subunit ribosomal RNA", at positions 28 to 523 of the family's 1533-position model. The record is from RNAcentral.
GAUGAACGCUGGCGGCGUGCCUAAUACAUGCAAGUCGAGCGAAUGGAUUAAGAGCUUGCUCUUAUGAAGUUAGCGGCGGACGGGUGAGUAACACGUGGGUAACCUGCCCAUAAGACUGGGAUAACUCCGGGAAACCGGGGCUAAUACCGGAUAACAUUUUGAACCGCAUGGUUCGAAAUUGACAGGCGGCUUCGGCUGUCACUUAUGGAUGGACCCGCGUCGCAUUAGCUAGUUGGUGAGGUAACGGCUCACCAAGGCAACGAUGCGUAGCCGACCUGAGAGGGUGAUCGGCCAAACUGGGACUGAGACACGGCCCAGACUCCUACGGGAGGCAGCAGUAGGGAAUCUUCCGCAAUGGACGAAAGUCUGACGGAGCAACGCCGCGUGAGUGAUGAAGGCUUUAGGGUCGUAAAACUCUGUUGUUAGGGAAGAACAAGUGCUAGUUGAAUAAGCUGACACCUUGACGGUACCUAACCAGAAAGCCACGGCUAACUACGUGCCAGCCGCCGCGGUAA